CCUACGGGAGGCAGCAGUGAGGAAUAUUGGACAAUGGGCGCAAGCCUGAUCCAGCCAUGCCGCGUGCAGGAUGAAGCAUCUAUGGUGUGUAAACUGCUUUUGUACGAGAAGAAACACUGCUUCGUGAAGCAGCUUGACGGUAUCGUAAGAAUAAGGAUCGGCUAACUCCGUGCCAGCAGCCGCGGUAAUACGGAGGAUCCAAGCGUUAUCCGGAAUCAUUGGGUUUAAAGGGUCCGUAGGCGGCCUUAUAAGUCAGUGGUGAAAUCUCACGGCUCAACCGUGAAAUGGCCAUUGAUACUGUAGGGCUUGAAUUAUUAGGAAGUAACUAGAAUAUGUAGUGUAGCGGUGAAAUGCUUAGAGAUUACAUGGAAUACCAAUUGCGAAGGCAGGUUACUACUAAUGGAUUGACGCUGACGGACGAAAGCGUGGGUAGCGAACAGGAUUAGAUACCCUGGUAGUCCACGCCGUAAACGAUGGAUACUAGCUGUUGGGGGCAACCUCAGUGGCUAAGCGAAAGUGANAGUAUCCAACCUGGGGAGUUAGUUGUGAGAGUAGAAGUUAAUUAGAGUUAGAGNGNGAGAGNGCGAGCGACGACGAGGAGGAGG
RNAcentral lists this ribosomal RNA (605 nucleotides) under uncultured bacterium. Its description in RNAcentral is "bacterial SSU rRNA". The stretch from base 1 to 532 matches the Rfam family "Bacterial small subunit ribosomal RNA", at positions 338 to 873 of the family's 1533-position model. The record is from RNAcentral.